GAUAAACGCUAGCGGCAGGCUUAACACAUGCAGGUCGAGGGGCAGCAUAGAUUGUAGCAAUACAAUUGGUGGCGACCGGCGCACGGGUGCGUAACGCGUAUGCAACCUACCCGUCACAGGGGGAUAAUCCGGAGAAAUCUGGUCUAAUACCCCAUAACAUAUGGAUCGGCAUCGGUUCAUGUUGAAAUUUUCGGAGGUGACGGAUGGGCAUGCGUAGCAUUAGCUUGUUGGUGAGGUAACGGCUCACCAAGGCGACGAUGCUUAGGGGGACUGAGAGGUUUUCCCCCCACACUGGUACUGAGACACGGACCAGACUCCUACGGGAGGCAGCAGUGAGGAAUAUUGGUCAAUGGGCGCAAGCCUGAACCAGCCAUGCCGCGUGCAGGAUGACGGCUCUAUGAGUUGUAAACUGCUUUUGUACGAGGGUAAAGUGGGUUACGUGUAACCUUUUGAAAGUAUCGUGCGAAUAAGGAUCGGCUAACUCAGUGCCAGCAGCCGCAGUAA
RNAcentral lists this ribosomal RNA (504 nucleotides) under uncultured bacterium. Its description in RNAcentral is "partial 16S ribosomal RNA". It matches the Rfam family "Bacterial small subunit ribosomal RNA", at positions 28 to 523 of the family's 1533-position model. The record is from RNAcentral.